RNAcentral lists this transfer RNA (69 nucleotides) under Marmota monax (woodchuck). Its description in RNAcentral is "tRNA.Ala". The record is from RNAcentral. Lineage: Eukaryota; Metazoa; Chordata; Mammalia; Rodentia; Sciuridae.
GGAGUUGUGGCUCAUUGGUAGUGCGUUCACCUAGCACGUGCAAGGCCCUGGGUUCGAUCCUCAGUACCA